GAGCCACCGUUGAAAUACCACCCUGGAUAAUCUGGAAAUCUAACCUACGCCCGUGAUCCGGGCGAGGGACACUGCCUGAUGGGCAGUUUGACUGGGGCGGUCGCCUCCUAAAUCGUAACGGAGGCGUGCGAAGGUUCCCUCAGGCUGAUUGGAAACCAGCCGUAGAGUGCAAACGCAUAAGGGAGCUUUACUGUGAGACCGACAGGUCGAGCAGUUGCGAAAGCAGGUGUUAGUGAUCCGGUGGUACCGGAUGGAAGGGCCAUCGCUCAUCGGAUAAAAGGUACUCUGGGGAUAACAGGCUGAUCGCGCCUGAGAGUUCACAUCGGCGGCGCGGUUUGGCACCUCGAUGUCGGCUCAUCGCAUCCUGGGGCUGGAGCAGGUCCCAAGGGUUUGGCUGUUCGCCAAUUAAAGCGGUACGCGAGCUGGGUUUAAAACGUCGUGAGACAGUUUGGUCCCUAUCUGCCGUGGGCGUAGGACACUUGAGAGGAGCUACCCAUAGUACGAGAGGACCUGGGUGGACGUGCCUCUGGUGAUCCGGUUGUCAGGCCUCUGGCAUAGCCGGGUAGCCAUGCGCGGAACAGAUAACCGCUGAAAGCAUAUAAGCGGGAAGCUGGCCUCAAGAUUAGGUGUCCCUGCCGCAAGGCACUAAAGGCCCCUCGUAGACUACGAGGUUGAUAGGCCGGGUGUGGAAGCGCAGCAAUGCGCGGAGCUAACCGGUACUAAUAGGCCGUGCGGCUUGACCUAAACCUAAG
RNAcentral lists this ribosomal RNA (752 nucleotides) under Pseudomonadota bacterium. RNAcentral's name for it is "bacterial LSU rRNA". It matches the Rfam family "Bacterial large subunit ribosomal RNA", at positions 2183 to 2925 of the family's 2925-position model. Lineage: Bacteria; Pseudomonadati; Pseudomonadota. The record is from RNAcentral.